Brachypodium distachyon (stiff brome) is the source of this 126-nucleotide non-coding RNA. NCBI's taxonomy places the organism in Eukaryota, Viridiplantae, Streptophyta, Magnoliopsida, Poales, Poaceae. The record is from Rfam.
AUUGUACUCGCUCUCGUUCCAUAAUUCUUGUCUCAAAUUUGCCCAAAUAUGGAUGUAUCUAUUCCUGAAAAGCGUCUAGAUACAUGUAAUAUUUCGACAAGAAUUAUGGAACGGAGGGAGUAUAAU